Molecule: non-coding RNA, 485 nt
Organism: Cinara cedri
Lineage: Eukaryota; Metazoa; Arthropoda; Insecta; Hemiptera; Aphididae
Source: the annotation of a GenBank genome assembly
UUAUGCAAUCAUCGUCUGGAAUUACUGCAGCCAGUUUAGCCACGAUUUAUGGUUAUUGAAAUCUAUUGACCUGACGCCGGCGACAAUGUAAUAUUAUAAUAGCGCAGCUACCAUCCUGUUGGAAUUAUUUUCGUUACGUUUUCGCUGUAAGCUCAUAUAUUCGGCAAAAUAAUCGAGUAAAGUUCGUAUAUUAGUCGUUUCCUAAACGUCGAGUGAGCUCAUUAUCCCAUCGGGAAAAUAAUUAAGUGCAGUCGAUAAAUUGUUUCCAAUUAGGAUGCGUUGCAGACAUUUAACCGUAGAACGUAGUUGUUCGGCCCGAAACUCCAGACUCGACCGGACUUUAAUAUUUUUCAGAACUCGCCGCGUCACCAUUAACUAGUAUCAUUAAUUUAAGUAUUAGGUAAUAUUUCAACGGUGAUGAAAUUAAUAUUUUAGCUCGCCGAAAUGAUGUCAAAAUAUCACUUAAGAAGACGGUAUUUAUAUAA